Molecule: ribosomal RNA, 437 nt
Filed under: uncultured bacterium
Lineage: Bacteria
Description: bacterial SSU rRNA
Rfam family: Bacterial small subunit ribosomal RNA
Source: RNAcentral
UACGGAAGGCAGCAGUGGGGAAUAUUGCACAAUGGGCGCAAGCCUGAUGCAGCCAUGCCGCGUGUAUGAAGAAGGCCUUCGGGUUGUAAAGUACUUUCAGUCGUGAGGAAGGUGUUAAGGUUAAUAACCUUAGCAAUUGACGUUAGCGACAGAAGAAGCACCGGCUAACUCCGUGCCAGCAGCCGCGGUAAUACGGAGGGUGCGAGCGUUAAUCGGAAUUACUGGGCGUAAAGGGCACGCAGGCGGUUAAUUAAGUUGGAUGUGAAAUCCCCGGGCUUAACCUGGGAAUGGCAUUCAAGACUGGUUAGCUAGAGUCUUGUAGAGGGGGUAGAAUUCCAUGUGUAGCGGUGAAAUGCGUAGAGAUGUGGAGGAAUACCGGUGGCGAAGGCGGCCCCUGGCAAAGCUGACGCUCAUGCGCGAAAGCGUGGGGAGCAAAC